GAUGAACGCUGACAGAAUGAUUAACACAUGCAAGUCUACUUGAAUUUGGGUUUUUUAACUUAGAUUUGGGUGGCGGACGGGUGAGUAACGCGUAAAGAACUUGCCUCACAGCUAGGGACAACAUUUGGAAACGAAUGCUAAUACCUGAUAUUAUGAUUAUAAGGCAUCUUAGAAUUAUGAAAGCUAUAUGCGCUGUGAGAGAGCUUUGCGUCCCAUUAGCUAGUUGGAGAGGUAACGGCUCACCAAGGCGAUGAUGGGUAGCCGGCCUGAGAGGGUGAACGGCCACAAGGGGACUGAGACACGGCCCUUACUCCUACGGGAGGCAGCAGUGGGGAAUAUUGGACAAUGGACCAAGAGUCUGAUCCAGCAAUUCUGUGUGCACGAUGACGUUUUUCGGAAUGUAAAGUGCUUUCAGUUGGGAAGAAAAAAAUGACGGUACCAACAGAAGAAGUGACGGCUAAAUACGUG
This 468-nucleotide ribosomal RNA is filed under the name uncultured bacterium. RNAcentral's name for it is "partial 16S ribosomal RNA". It matches the Rfam family "Bacterial small subunit ribosomal RNA", at positions 28 to 507 of the family's 1533-position model. The record is from RNAcentral.